AAAUGAAUAGACGGGGGCCCGCACAAGCGGAGGAGCAUGUGGUUUAAUUCGAUGAUACGCGAGGAACCUUACCUAGACUUGAACGUAUUUGGAAUAAUUUGGAAACAGAUUAGCCAGCAAUGGCCAUUUACGAGGUGCUGCAUGGUUGUCGUCAGCUCGUGCCGUGAGGUGUUAGGUUAAGUCCUGCAACGAGCGCAACCCUUACCGUUAGUUACCAUCAGGUUAUGCUGGGGACUCUAGCGGAACUGCCGGCGCAAGCCGUGAGGAAGGUGGGGAUGACGUCAAAUCAGCACGGCCCUUACGUCUAGGGCGACACACGUGCUACAAUGGACGGUACAGAGGGCAGCUACACUGCGAAGUGAUGCUAAUCUCAAAAGCCGUUCUCAGUUCGGAUCGGAGUCUGCAACCCGACUCCGUGAAGUUGGAUUCGCUAGUAAUCGCUCAUCAGCCAUGGAGCGGUGAAUACGUUCCCGGGCCUUGUACACACCGCCCGU
Molecule: ribosomal RNA, 494 nt
Filed under: uncultured bacterium
Lineage: Bacteria
Description: bacterial SSU rRNA
Rfam family: Bacterial small subunit ribosomal RNA
Source: RNAcentral